Molecule: ribosomal RNA, 1180 nt
Filed under: uncultured bacterium
Lineage: Bacteria
Description: bacterial SSU rRNA
Rfam family: Bacterial small subunit ribosomal RNA
Source: RNAcentral
ACAUGCAAGUCGAGCGAGGAGAUUCCCUUCGGGGGAAUGAACCUAGCGGCGGACGGGUGAGUAACACGUGGGCAACCUGCCUUAUAGAGGGGAAUAGCCUUCCGAAAGGAAGAUUAAUACCGCAUAACAUUACAUUUUCGCAUGAAGAAGUAAUUAAAGGAGUAAUCCGCUAUAAGAUGGGCCCGCGGCGCAUUAGCUAGUUGGUGAGGUAACGGCUCACCAAGGCGACGAUGCGUAGCCGACCUGAGAGGGUGAUCGGCCACAUUGGGACUGAGACACGGCCCAGACUCCUACGGGAGGCAGCAGUGGGGAAUAUUGCACAAUGGGGGAAACCCUGAUGCAGCAACGCCGCGUGAGUGAUGAAGGUCUUCGGAUCGUAAAGCUCUGUCUUCAGGGACGAUAAUGACGGUACCUGAGGAGGAAGCCACGGCUAACUACGUGCCAGCAGCCGCGGUAAUACGUAGGUGGCGAGCGUUGUCCGGAUUUACUGGGCGUAAAGGGAGCGUAGGCGGAUUUUUAAGUGAGAUGUGAAAUACCCGGGCUCAACUUGGGUGCUGCAUUUCAAACUGGAAGUCUAGAGUGCAGGAGAGGAGAGUGGAAUUCCUAGUGUAGCGGUGAAAUGCGUAGAGAUUAGGAAGAACACCAGUGGCGAAGGCGACUCUCUGGACUGUAACUGACGCUGAGGCUCGAAAGCGUGGGGAGCAAACAAGAUUAGAUACCCUGGUAGUCCACGCCGUAAAGGAUGUCGACUUGGAGGUUGUGCCUUUGAGGCGUGGCUUCCGGAGAUAACGAGUUAAGUCGACCGCUUGGGGAGUACGUCGGCAAGGUUAAAAUUCAAAUGAAUUGACGGGGGCCGGCACAAGCGGUGGAGCAUGUGGUUUAAUUGGAUGCAACGCGAAGACCCUUACCUACUCUUGACAUCCAGAGAAUUUUGCAGAGAUGCUUUGGUGCCUUCGGGAACUGUGAGACAGGUGCUGCAUGGCUGUCGUCAGCUCGUGUUGUGAAAUGUUGGGUUAAGUCCCGCAACGAGCGCAACCCUUAUCCUUUGUUGCCAGCGGUUCGGCCGGGAACUCAAAGGAGACUGCCAGUGAUAAACUGGAGGAAGGUGGGGAUGACGUCAAGUCAUCAUGGCCCUUAUGAGUAGGGUUACACACGUGUUACAAUGGCAUAUACAAAGAGA